RNAcentral lists this ribosomal RNA (453 nucleotides) under uncultured Paraprevotella sp. Its description in RNAcentral is "partial 16S ribosomal RNA". It matches the Rfam family "Bacterial small subunit ribosomal RNA", at positions 341 to 792 of the family's 1533-position model. Lineage: Bacteria; Pseudomonadati; Bacteroidota; Bacteroidia; Bacteroidales; Prevotellaceae. The record is from RNAcentral.
ACGGAAGGCAGCAGUGAGGAAUAUUGGUCAAUGGGCGCGAGCCUGAACCAGCCAAGUAGCGUGAGGGAUGACUGCCCUAUGGGUUGUAAACCUCUUUUGUUUGGGAAUAAAGGAGACUACGUGUAGUCUUUUGCAUGUACCUUACGAAUAAGCAUCGGCUAAUUCCGUGCCAGCAGCCGCGGUAAUACGGAAGAUGCGAGCGUUAUCCGGAUUUAUUGGGUUUAAAGGGAGCGUAGGCGGGCUGUUAAGUCAGCGGUCAAAUGUCAGGGCCCAACCUUGGCAUGCCGUUGAUACUGGCGGCCUUGAAUACACGCAAGGUAAGUGGAAUUCGUCGUGUAGCGGUGAAAUGCUUAGAUAUGACGAAGAACUCCGAUUGCGAAGGCAGCUUACUGGAGUGCGAUUGACGCUGAGGCUCGAAAGUGCGGGAAUCAAACAGGAUUAGAUACCCUGGUA